GACAGAGGGUGCAAACGUUGUUCGGAUUUACUGGGCGUAAAGCGCGUGUAGGCGGCUUUGCAAGUCGGAUGUGAAAGCCCACGGCUCAACCGUGGAAGUGCAUCCGAAACUGCAUGGCUUGAGUCUCGGAGAGGAAGGUGGAAUGCUUGGUGUAGAGGUGAAAUUCGUAGAGAUGUGGAGGAACACCGAUGGCGAAGGCAGCCCCCUGGGCUAACACUGACGCUCAUGCACGAAAGCGUGGGGAGCAAACAGG
RNAcentral lists this ribosomal RNA (253 nucleotides) under uncultured bacterium. RNAcentral describes it as "partial 16S ribosomal RNA". It matches the Rfam family "Bacterial small subunit ribosomal RNA", at positions 524 to 776 of the family's 1533-position model. The record is from RNAcentral.